UUCAUGACUGAGUUGGGCUUUGCCUGGGCAAAAUAAGGAAGAAUGGCUUAUGGCAACUCACCACAGAGACACAUUUUGCACACCACAUUAAGCCAAACCACGGUGAGAAUUUGUUUAUUUAAUUAUUUAAUUCACAUAUUGCCAUUCUUCUGACGAUCACAGGACGGUUCAUAACACAAAAAUACAAACGAGAACACAAAAUACCUAAUACAGUGGUACCCCGGGUUAAGUACUUAAUUUGUUCCGGAGCUCCAUUCUUAACCUGAAACUGUUCUUAACCUGAAGCACCACUUUAGCUAAUGGGGCCUCCCGCGCUGCCGGAGCACAAUUUCUGUUCUCAUCCUGAAGCAAAGUUCUUAACCCGAGGUAAUAUUUCUGGGUUAGCGGAGUCUGUAACCUGAAGCGUAUGUAACCCAAGGUACCACUGUAAUACAAGCUUAACUGCAAGCCGUGGUUGAGAUGGUGCUCAAGUCUAAACCAAGUCUUGGCUUAUCUUAGCAUUUACAGUAACAAAAAGGAUUGAGGAGAAACAACGCGACUGCGAGCAUUUGUGAACUUGCACUAAACUAAGGUUUGGCUUAGGUUGACACAAUAAACACCAUUCAAAAAUCCAGUAUAUAAAAUACACAACCUUUCAGCAUAAUAAUAAAAGGAAGGGCUUGAUCUAACUGACUUCCUCCAAAAGAAGUCCAGGGCAGCUUGUAUUUCAGGCUUGCUUAACAUCAAAAAGCUUUUAACUGUAGAAACUGAAGGUUCUGCUUUGGCAUGUUUUCAGCUGCUUCAAGGUACUUAAGUUCGCUAAGUGGCUGCUGUGGACAGAGGAGAAACAUGGGUUAAUGCUAUUUGUCUUGGAGUUAAAUAAUUCAGAUACUGAUGUGCUCUGGAUGGAUUAGUUGCUGGUGGGGUUUCUCAAAGGCUGCAUUUGCCAUGCAUUGUAGACUCCUUAGUUCCAGCUAGAUGUCCUCCUAAUUAGCUGCUUUGCAGAAAAGACUCUUUGUUGUGCGCUGGGUCACUGGCGCUUCCAUGUAGCUCAUUAAGGGACAUUUGUCAUUCCUGUGCUAAGCCUGACACAGUGCACCUGCUUGCUAGACAGGAAGCAGGUUGCGGCAGCUUAAGGAGCUUACAACUGGUUAUUUGGUGGUGGUGUCUGGUUCUUGGGUUUUUCUUAUUUGCAGAAGCCACAGCAAUAGUCUUGUUUCAAGUAACGGUGCUGCCAGCAUUGAAAAUGGCCACAAGAUGUCCCCAUAGGAAAAACAAUGGCUGGUUUUGAAUCUAACGCGUCCUAUAACCAUGUGCAAAUAAUAAAAACCUUUAAAUAGG
This is a long non-coding RNA of Podarcis raffonei (Aeolian wall lizard), 1320 nucleotides long. RefSeq lists it as uncharacterized. The transcript has 2 exons. NCBI's taxonomy places the organism in Eukaryota, Metazoa, Chordata, Lepidosauria, Squamata, Lacertidae. The record is from RefSeq and is a predicted model, not a curated record.